RNAcentral lists this ribosomal RNA (494 nucleotides) under uncultured bacterium. Its description in RNAcentral is "partial 16S ribosomal RNA". It matches the Rfam family "Bacterial small subunit ribosomal RNA", at positions 28 to 507 of the family's 1533-position model. The record is from RNAcentral.
GACGAACGCUGGCGGCGCGCUUAACACAUGCAAGUCGAACGGAAAGGCCUGCUUUACCUUGUGGUUUGCGGGUACCCGCGGGGCCAACGGGUGGUUAACCCGAUAGUAAUCUGCCAUCAACUUGGAUAUAAGCCUGGGAAAUUGGGUCUAAUUCCCGAUACGACUGCCGGGUGCUUCCGAAUGUGGAAAACGAUUUUCUAGUGGUGGGGGAUGAGCUCGCGGCCUAUCAGCUUGUUGGUGGGGUAGUGGCCUACCACGACGGGGACAGGUAGGCUGCCUGAGAGGAUGGACGGCAAAAUUGAACCGGAGAUACGUCCAAAACUCCUACGGGAGGCAGCAGUGGGGAAUAUUGCCCAAUGGGGGGAAGCCUGACGCGGCGACGAGGGGUGGGGGAUGCCGGCCUUCGGGUUGUAAACUCCUUUCGAACGGGAAGAAGGCAGCUGAUUGGUAGGUUGGUGACGGUAGUGGAAGAAGAAGCACCGGCUAACUACGUG